GCACCAUUAGCUCAGCUGGUAGAGCAGUAGACUCUUAAUCUAUUUGUCCAGGGUUCGAAUCCCUGAUGGUGUA
Molecule: transfer RNA, 73 nt
Filed under: Lachnospiraceae bacterium
Lineage: Bacteria; Bacillati; Bacillota; Clostridia; Lachnospirales; Lachnospiraceae
Also listed under: 2 other names
Description: tRNA-Lys
Rfam family: tRNA
About the family: Transfer RNA (tRNA) molecules are approximately 80 nucleotides in length.
Source: RNAcentral